This is a non-coding RNA of Ophiophagus hannah (king cobra), 46 nucleotides long. NCBI's taxonomy places the organism in Eukaryota, Metazoa, Chordata, Lepidosauria, Squamata, Elapidae. The record is from Rfam.
AUCUAGGUUUUAUUUAAAACCACUCAUUUUCCCAUUCUGGCAUUUU